AUUGAACGCUGGCGGCAUGCCUUACACAUGCAAGUCGAACGGCAGCACGGGAGCAAUCCUGGUGGCGAGUGGCGAACGGGUGAGUAAUAUAUCGGAACGUGCCCAGUCGUGGGGGAUAACGUAGCGAAAGCUACGCUAAUACCGCAUACGAUCUAUGGAUGAAAGCGGGGGGAUCGCAAGACCUCGCGCGAUUGGAGCGGCCGAUAUCAGAUUAGGUAGUUGGUGAGGUAAAGGCUCACCAAGCCGACGAUCUGUAGCUGGUCUGAGAGGACGGACCAGCCACACUGGGACUGAGACACGGCCCAGACUCCUACGGGAGGCAGCAGUGGGGAAUUUUUGGACAAUGGGCGCAAGCCUGAUCCAGCAAUGCCGCGUGCAGGAUGAAGGCC
This 389-nucleotide ribosomal RNA is filed under the name uncultured bacterium. RNAcentral describes it as "bacterial SSU rRNA". It matches the Rfam family "Bacterial small subunit ribosomal RNA", at positions 30 to 416 of the family's 1533-position model. The record is from RNAcentral.